This 30-nucleotide non-coding RNA is filed under the name Rattus norvegicus (Norway rat). Lineage: Eukaryota; Metazoa; Chordata; Mammalia; Rodentia; Muridae. The record is from RNAcentral.
UACUACUGCUCUCAGAUGUGUAGGUGCUCC